GGGAGAUAGCUCAGUGGUGGAGAGCACUUGCCUAACAUGUGCUGGGCCCUGGGUUCAAUCCCCAGCAUCUCUCU
RNAcentral lists this transfer RNA (74 nucleotides) under Marmota monax (woodchuck). RNAcentral's name for it is "tRNA.Val". Lineage: Eukaryota; Metazoa; Chordata; Mammalia; Rodentia; Sciuridae. The record is from RNAcentral.